RNAcentral lists this transfer RNA (74 nucleotides) under Ruficoccus sp. ZRK36. RNAcentral describes it as "tRNA-Gln". It matches the Rfam family "tRNA". Rfam says of the family: Transfer RNA (tRNA) molecules are approximately 80 nucleotides in length. Their secondary structure includes four short double-helical elements and three loops (D, anti-codon, and T loops). The record is from RNAcentral. Lineage: Bacteria; Pseudomonadati; Verrucomicrobiota; Opitutia; Puniceicoccales; Cerasicoccaceae.
AGGUCCGUGGUGUAAUGGUAGCACAGCAGAUUUUGGUUCUGCUUGUCGGGGUUCAAAUCCCUGCGGACCUGCCA